RNAcentral lists this ribosomal RNA (484 nucleotides) under uncultured bacterium. Its description in RNAcentral is "partial 16S ribosomal RNA". It matches the Rfam family "Bacterial small subunit ribosomal RNA", at positions 30 to 507 of the family's 1533-position model. The record is from RNAcentral.
AUUGAACGCUGGCGGGAGGCCUAACACAUGCAAGUCGAGCGGAUGAAGGGAGCUUGCUCCUGGAUUCAGCGGCGGACGGGUGAGUAAUGCCUAGGAAUCUGCCUGGUAGUGGGGGAUAACGUCCGGAAACGGGCGCUAAUACCGCAUACGUCCUGAGGGAGAAAAUGGGGGAUCUUCGGACCUCACGCUAUCAGAUGAGCCUAGGUCGGAUUAGCUAGUUGGUGGGGUAAAGGCCUACCAAGGCGACGAUCCGUAACUGGUCUGAGAGGAUGAUCAGUCACACUGGAACUGAGACACGGUCCAGACUCCUACGGGAGGCAGCAGUGGGGAAUAUUGGACAAUGGGCGAAAGCCUGAUCCAGCCAUGCCGCGUGUGUGAAGAAGGUCUUCGGAUUGUAAAGCACUUUAAGUUGGGAGGAAGGGCAGUAAGUUAAUACCUUGCUGUUUUGACGUUACCAACAGAAUAAGCACCGGCUAACUUCGUG